UGAUUUGAAAGCACAAUUAUCUUUGUAAAGAUACUUUUGAAAAGUUGUGGAUAAUAGGUUAACAAUACCUCUCUCCUCUUAAAGACAAGUGUGACCUUGGAUUAACUUUCCAGCUCUGUUGCUUGGAAAUGUGAUAAGGUGACUGUCCACUGUGUUAUUAGGCAACAUGGCUUGUGGUAAAAAUUACCCAGUUACCUGGUGGGAAGCUAUAGCUUUGGGCUCCUCUGAAGGUAGUUUUACAACACACAUUGACAUUUUUGAUGCACGAGGCUUCUAUACCAGGAUGGCUCCCUAAUCUUCCCACUGUGGAUAUUUCCUUGUACCUGAGCUGGUGAGAAGAUGGGAGGGGGCAAGAGAGAUGGAAAGCUGCUGGACUGCGGUAUGCACUCCUGUGAGGACCACUCCACUGAAAAGGAAUGCCCAGUGCUGCCCUUCCUGACCUAUAUCCUUUUAAGUAUAUGGAUGACAACUAGGGUCCAUGGUAGUCUUGAUUCUGGGAAGAUGAGGUGGCCUACAGGACCAAGAGACCAAAGCUGUAUCGAGUGAGUCAGACUAUCUAGUUGCUAGCUGAUCACAGAAGAGAAGGUCAGAGAGAUGCAUUCAGGCCGGCCUGGAAAAAAGCAAACAUUCAUAUUGGGAACUACCACUGGUGGCGACAUGUUACCGAACUGCAAGCAGUAUCUGGAAGCUAAGAGUCAUCCCUGGUCAACAACUAACAGGACAACAGGGACCUUAAUCCUACAGUUACAAGGACUGCCAACAAGUGACCUUGGAUAAAGACCCUAAGCCCCAGAUGAGAACUGAAACCCUGGCAACACCUUGAUUUCAGUGAGAUCCUAUACAGAGAAUCUAGCCACACUGUGGCCUGGACUUCUGACCUACAAUAACUAUGAGAUAAUAAAUGUGUUCUUUUUAGCCACUAAAUUUGUGAUAAUUUUUUAUGCAGCAUUUAAAAAGUAACACAAUCUGCAUAAUAAAUUCCUACAAAUGAAAUUGCUAGAUCAAGGGGACAUGCACUUAAAAUUUAUAAAUAUAUUACAAAAUUGCUCUUCAAAUACCUCACAUCUUUGUUGUUGUUGUUGUUGUUGUUGAGACAGGGUCUCACUAUGUCUCCCAGGCUGGAGUGUAGUGGUGAUCACAACUCACUAUAGCCACAAACUCCUGAGCUCAGGUGAUCCUCCCACCUCAAUCAGCCUCCUGAGUAGCUGGGACUAUAGGUAAGUGCCUCUAUGCACAGCUAAUUUUUUGUGUUUUAUUUUGUAGAGAUGGGAUUUCAACAUGUUGACCAGGCUGGUCUUGAACUCUUGGGCUCAAGUGAUCCACUCACCUGAGCCUCCAAAAGUACUGGGAUUACAGGCAUGAGCCACCAUGCUCAACUUACACCAAUUUAAACAUCCACCAACAGUAGAUUUAAAACUUCCUGGUAAUUAGCUGCUGAUUUAAAGUGUUUAUUCCAGUAAGUCACCAAGGGCUGGAAGGAUUUGUAUCUUGCCCUCUUGCAGCUGACUUUUGACAGAGGGACUUUUUAAGAAGUGAUUAUCCUCUAAAAUUUCUUUUAAUAACAAAGACCUUUUCUUUGAGGCUCUACUAGGAGGGAUGUUUUCAUUACAACUACUAUCUCCAAUGUAAGAAGAUACUGGUAGCAAGAAUUCAUAUGAGCAUAUGAAACACUAUAAAUAGCAAUCUACCUAUCAGUAAAGGGAUCUGUGGCAGAU
RNAcentral lists this long non-coding RNA (1715 nucleotides) under Homo sapiens (human). RNAcentral describes it as "HSALNT0345631". The record is from RNAcentral. Lineage: Eukaryota; Metazoa; Chordata; Mammalia; Primates; Hominidae.